AACUUUCGACAACGGAUCUCUUGGCUCUCGCAUCGAUGAAGAACGCAGCGAAAUGCGAUAAGUAAUGUGAAUUGCAGAAUUCAGUGAAUCAUCGAAUCUUUGAACGCACCUUGCGCCCCUCGGCAUUCCUUGGGGCACGCCCGUUCGAGUGUCACGAC
RNAcentral lists this ribosomal RNA (158 nucleotides) under uncultured Basidiomycota. RNAcentral describes it as "5.8S ribosomal RNA". It matches the Rfam family "5.8S ribosomal RNA". From Rfam's summary of the family: 5.8S ribosomal RNA (5.8S rRNA) is a component of the large subunit of the eukaryotic ribosome. It is transcribed by RNA polymerase I as part of the 45S precursor that also contains 18S and 28S rRNA. Lineage: Eukaryota; Fungi; Basidiomycota. The record is from RNAcentral.